This 468-nucleotide ribosomal RNA is filed under the name uncultured Bacillus sp. RNAcentral's name for it is "bacterial SSU rRNA". It matches the Rfam family "Bacterial small subunit ribosomal RNA", at positions 916 to 1382 of the family's 1533-position model. The record is from RNAcentral. Lineage: Bacteria; Bacillati; Bacillota; Bacilli; Caryophanales; Bacillaceae.
GGGGCCCGCACAAGCGGUGGAGCAUGUGGUUUAAUUCGACGCAACGCGAAGAACCUUACCAGGGCUUGACAUCCCCUGACCGCGUACGAAAGUACGAAUUCACCUUCGGGUGACAGGGAGACAGGUGGUGCAUGGUUGUCGUCAGCUCGUGUCGUGAGAUGUUGGGUUAAGUCCCGCAACGAGCGCAACCCCUACGUUUAGUUGCUAACGCGUGAAGGCGAGCACUCUAGACGAACUGCCGUUGACAAAACGGAGGAAGUGGGGAUGACGUCAAAUCAUCAUGCCCCUUAUGUUCUGGGCUACACACGUGCUACAAUGGCCGGUACAGACGGACGCAAAGCCGCGAGGUGGAGCAAAUCCUAAAAAGCCGGUCUCAGUUCGGAUUGCAGGCUGCAAUUCGCCUGCAUGAAGUCGGAAUCGCUAGUAAUCGCAGGUCAGCAUACUGCGGUGAAUACGUUCCCGGGCCUU